CAUGCAGUCGAGCGGCAGCGACAACAUUGACCCUUCGGGGGAUUUGUUGGGCGGCGAGCGGUGGACGGGUGAGUAAUGCCUGGGAACAUGCCUUAGUGUGGGGGAUAACCAUUGGAAACGAUGGCUAAUACCGCAUAAUCUCUACGGAGCAAAGAGGGGGACCUUCGGGCCUCUCGCGCUAAGAUUGGCCCAGGUGGGAUUAGCUAGUAGGUGGGGUAAGGGCUCACCUAGGCGACGAUCCCUAGCUGGUCUGAGAGGAUGAUCAGCCACACUGGAACUGAGACACGGUCCAGACUCCUACGGGAGGCAGCAGUGGGGAAUAUUGCACAAUGGGGGAAACCCUGAUGCAGCCAUGCCGCGUGUGUGAAGAAGGCCUUCGGGUUGUAAAGCACUUUCAGCAGUGAGGAAGGUGGUAUCGUUAAUAGCGGUAUUGUUUGACGUUAGCUGCAGAAGAAGCACCGGCUAACUCCGUGCCAGCAGCCGCGGUAAUACGGAGGGUGCGAGCGUUAAUCGGAAUUACUGGGCGUAAAGCGCAUGCAGGCGGCUUGUUAAGCCAGAUGUGAAAGCCCGGGGCUCAACCUCGGAAUCGCAUUUGGAACUGGCAGGCUAGAGUCUUGUAGAGGGGGGUAGAAUUUCAGGUGUAGCGGUGAAAUGCGUAGAGAUCUGAAGGAAUACCGGGUGGCGAAGCGGCCCCUGGACAAGACUGACGCUCAGAUGCGAAAGCGGUGGGGGAGCAAACAGGAUUAGAUACCCUGGUAGUCCACCGCCGUAAACGAUGUCUACUUGAAGU
This 790-nucleotide ribosomal RNA is filed under the name uncultured bacterium. RNAcentral's name for it is "bacterial SSU rRNA". It matches the Rfam family "Bacterial small subunit ribosomal RNA", at positions 54 to 823 of the family's 1533-position model. The record is from RNAcentral.